This is an RNA transcript of Mus caroli (Ryukyu mouse), 5328 nucleotides long. It is a transcript of the gene named RIC8 guanine nucleotide exchange factor B, with no coding region annotated. NCBI's taxonomy places the organism in Eukaryota, Metazoa, Chordata, Mammalia, Rodentia, Muridae. The record is from RefSeq and is a predicted model, not a curated record.
GAGGUAGCGGGGGCGCGAGGCGUUUACCUGGGAGGCAGCGGCUGGGGCGCGCACAGCGGCUGCGGCUCCCCCGCACCUGCGGCCAUGGAUGAAGAGCGCGCCCUCUACAUCGUCCGGGCCGGCGAGGCGGGGGCUAUCGAGCGGGUCCUGAGGGAUUACAGCGACAAGCAUAGGGCUACUUUCAAAUUUGAAUCAGCAGAUGAAGAUAAAAGAAAGAAACUCUGUGAAGGCAUAUUUAAGGUCCUUGUCAAGGAGGUCCCAACGACAUGCCAAGUGUCCUGCCUGGAAGUACUCCGCAUUCUCUCCAGAGACAAAAAGAUCUUAGUUCCUGUAACAACUAAGGAAAAUAUGCAAAUACUGCUGAGACUAGCCAAGCUCCACGAGUCGGACGAUUCUUUGGAGAAGGUGUCAGAGUUCCCAGUUAUUGUGGAAUCAUUGAAGUGUCUGUGUAACAUCGUGUUCAACAGUCAGAUGGCACAGCAGCUUAGCCUGGAACUGAAUCUCGCUGCAAAGCUCUGUAACCUCCUAAGAAAGUGCAAGGACCGAAAAUUUAUCAAUGACAUAAAGUGCUUUGACUUGCGCUUGCUCUUCGUCUUGUCACUUUUGCACACUGACAUCAGGUCACAAUUGCGCUAUGAGCUCCAGGGACUCCCGCUGCUAACCCAGAUCUUGGAAAGUGCCUUUAGCAUCAAGUGGACCGAUGAGUAUGAGUCGGCCAUAGACCAUAAUGGACCUCCUCUCUCACCUCAGGAGACAGACUGUGCCAUUGAGGCCCUCAAAGCUCUGUUCAAUGUGACGGUAGACAGUUGGAAGGUGCAUAAAGAGAGCGAUUCUCAUCAGUUCCGUGUCAUGGCAGCUGUCCUUCGCCAUUGUUUACUAAUUGUAGGUCCAACUGAAGACAAAACCGAAGAGCUGCACAGUAAUGCCGUCAACCUUUUAAGCAAUGUUCCAGUCUCUUGUUUGGAUGUUCUCAUUUGUCCAUUAACCCAUGAAGAAACAGCCCAAGAGGCAGCAACUCUAGAUGAACUGCCCAGUGAUAAAACAACGGAGAAAGACACAGCUUUGAAAAACAGUACCAUGGUAUACAAUGGCAUGAAUAUGGAGGCCAUUCACGUUUUACUCAAUUUUAUGGAGAAGAGAAUUGAUAAGGGAAGCAGCUAUAGAGAGGGUCUAACUCCAGUUCUCAGCUUAUUAACAGAAUGUUCCCGAGCCCAUCGGAACAUCCGAAAAUUUCUCAAAGAUCAGGUUUUACCGCCUUUGAGGGAUGUGACAAAUCGACCAGAAGUCGGCUCAACCGUGAGAAAUAAGCUGGUGCGUCUCAUGACACAUGUUGACCUCGGAGUCAAGCAGAUUGCUGCUGAGUUCCUUUUUGUCCUUUGCAAAGAGAGAGUGGAUAGCCUGCUGAAAUACACUGGCUAUGGAAACGCUGCAGGACUCUUGGCGGCCAGGGGCCUCUUGGCUGGAGGAAGAGGAGAUAAUUGGUACUCAGAGGACGAGGACACGGACACUGAAGAAUACAAAAACGCAAAACCAAACAUUAAUCUUAUCACUGGUCAUUUAGAGGAACCAAUGCCAAACCCUAUAGAUGAAAUGACAGAAGAACAAAAAGAAUAUGAAGCCAUGAAACUUGUCAACAUGCUUGAUAAACUUUCCAGGAGAGCAGAUGUGAAGGACCUGCACCAGGAUGGUGGUUAGCAACAGUGGCCCGUGCCAAAGCACUUACCAAAGUGAUGACUAAGACCCUGUCAUUAAUUCCAUGUGUCAAUACUGCCCUGUAGUACACAGAGCAGACAAGAAAGAAGAGCCCUUGAAAACAAGGGAAUGAUUUUUGAGUCGUUAUCAAGCUAAGUGGCAAGCGGGAAGCUGAAACUCGUAUAGUUGAACAUUCUUGGAGGCUUAUCUCUUCCCUGGCCAGAUGCCUGAUCAGAUGAGAAGCCCGCCAUGAUACUGUCACAGUGCCUAGAAUGGGCUCUUUAUCCAGUAGACAUCACUGUACUUUUUGGUGAUAACGGGGGCAGUCUUAACUGUGUUAAGGCCUGUAUAUAGCAUUGAAGAGAGGAGUUGCUUAAACCAAUGGGACUAAAACCUGACGGGACAAUAACGCCUUUGGAGGAAGCACUCAGCCAGUAUUCUGUCAUCGAAGAGACCAGCUCGGACACAGACUGAAAGCAUCGUCACCUGCUCCACUCUCAAUAUGGCUUUUAUCAGCAUCUUUUCUCUGUAGCUCCAGGGGAAUCUUUUUCUCUAAAACGUUUAUGCCCUCGCUUUGGCUAGAAACACAUUAACUGGUUUACUCAUUGGGAAUCCAGCAUAUUUAAGAGGUAAUCCUGUGUUUUCUGCAACAUUGAGGCAUUCAUACAGAGCUGCAGUUAGGCAGAGUUGCGAGGCUAGAAGCAGAAGCAGACAUCCCAUUGCACCAGGACAGAGUACGGGACUUCACUCGGCAAGCAGCCCCGGUCAAAUCUGGCAGUCUUGUUGCCGAUAAUCCUAGCCGAAGAUUCAGCGUGUCCUUCCACCCACCCAUGUAAACUGCCCCUUCUGAGUCUCUCCAGCAACCUGGGGCCCAUGAGGGCCCAAGGAGCUGAUAAAUAAGGGCUGAGGCAAGUGACUCCUUAGAUCAGCACUGACUGAACGAAAGCCAGGCAGCUGCUCUGUAAGCCUAGCCCUACCCUUCAUUUCAGUUUUAUACAAAUGUGGAAACACACACACGCGCACACAUACACACACACACACAGCCCCAGACUUACAAACCUAUUACACUCUAAAAGUUUGUCAUUUAGCUAAAACUUGAGAUUACAUUUCUUCCUGGAAGGAGUUAGAAGUAACGGUUUAGUUCAGGCAGCUACACGUGCCUAUUUAUCCCUCGUUCCUGAACACUACUAGUACCGUAGGGCUGGAUCUGUACCGUUGCGUCCACAGUGUGCAUUCUGAGGUAUCACUCAGGGUGCCAAGUACACACUCAUCCUCCAGGCAACAGAGAGGAUGGGGCUCCCCGAGUAGUGGGAGUUCUUUUGUGGCCUGUGCUGGGGGUAGGGAGCCAACAGCACCCAUUUGUACAUAAAGGUCAUUCGUAUGUCACAUGUUUUAAACUGGGGUCUCUGUGUGUAUUUGUGUGUGUGUUCUACCUUUCUACCAUAUGUGAUCAGUUUAAUGGUAACUUUAUUUAUUUAAAAACAAAGAAACACAAAUAGUUACUAUUAAACUGAUUAAGGCUGUUUAUUUUUACUCCUAGAAAUGGUCAUAUGAAGUAGAUGUGCAAUCAUGUAGACAGCAGGCCAAGGUGAUCAGUGGCUAAAGUUGAAAAGGGGUUGGUUUCUUUCAUAUAUGUAUGUGUGUGUAGAUGCACAUACAUAGAUAUAUGCACACAUAGAUUAUGUGCUUGACCACUGCCUUUUAAAACUUUAAAUUAAAUAAAACAUUGGGGAUGAUUCAAUUUAGCCAUCUGUGUGUGUGUUUCUUUAUGGAUACGUGGGCUAAGGAGACUAUUGCACAGUUUAUGUUUUAAAGUCUCUCUCCGCCUGCUCCCUCACCUGUCAUUGUGCAGCCUCUUUCCAGGACAGAGUGUCCAUAGAUAGCAUUGGUGAGAAUGUGUUUAGCCUCAAUGGUCCCUGGCCUUUGAGCUGCCAGAGAGAUGCCAGGAAGUUCUUAAAAUUUACUCUGAAGGAAACCCUUAAAGAGUAGUCACCAUCACUAAGAUUUAUGUUCACUUCAAACAUGUUUGGACACUUGGACUUUGAGCCCCCACCCCACACAAAGGCAGAGAAGGUGAGUGUAUUUAAAGCAGGCACCCUGAAAACAGUAGAAGGCAUCAGCCGGGAAUGGGGAGCCUUCAGUGCCCAGAUUCAAAUGGGGGGUCAGUGUACACACCAAGGUGAGCAAGAAGAAACACCAUCCAAGGCUCAGCAAGUAGUGUGUGUGACAGCGUGGCCAGAGACAUGCUUUCCUUAUAGUGGCCCUGAGCGGCUCUAAAAGAAUCAAUCAAGAGACUCGUAAGACAACUCGGGAGUGUCCGGACAUUAAGGACUCUCCUCCGUAACCAUUGUUUUAGCCAAUGGCACCACCCAAUAAGAUUUUCGUUUUAUUCUGCUGUUCAUAAUUUUAGUUAAGUGAAAAAAAAAUCCAGAGGAGAAGGAACUUAGUUAUUUUGUUGCUUCAUUCAACAAGUUCAUUUCGAAAGUAUUUUUAUAAUCUCUAGUCAGAUAGCUUUUCCAUGAGCAUCAGCCUAUGAAAGCAUGCUGUGCCCGGUGAAAUGCCACCUUGCCGCCUCUGCGCAAGUGCUUGCACAGUGCUGUAGCUGUGCUCCGAUGCUUUCAACAAGUUCCUUUCACCACGCAUCUCUUGCAUCUAGGCACUUAAUUUGUUUUUUUAAGGAUUAAUUCUUUAAAAGAUGGAGUAGCUUCACCUUGCACACAGAGAGCUCUGAGCAUCGAGCUUCAUGUCUUCUUUGUAACCUCACCCCAUCUACAAGAGCCUUUCCAGAGAGCUGCUUAACUUCCUAGACCCUCAGCAAGCCAGGGUCCAGCUGUGGCCUUGACACCUGCACCUUCCCUGUUGCAUGCAGGACCACUAGCCAGAGGCUUUAAGACAGCAGACAGGCUGCGGAAGGUGGUCCUUCUCAGACCAUUUUAAACAAUAACUAUUUGAGCAGCAGUCUCUGGUGUUCCCAUCAGGGAGGUACCUGCAUGAGAGGGAGAAGCUUGGUCAGUUAGCAGAUUUUAGGUGAAGACCUGGACGCCCUUAGGUCAGAGAGCAACAGUGUGGGUCGGUCCUCCAGUGAGAGGGGUCAGCCAGUGACCACGGCCAUUUACAGCCCUUUACAUACACUGAACUUGGGAAUGCACGCCCUAAAGCAAGGCAUUGGAACUCCUUAGAGGAACAGUUUCCAGAUGUCUGUGGCCGAUUCGCAUAUCCAGUGGCUUUUAGUGGCAGUCAGGGCAAAUGCUGUCCUUUCUCUAUAAAUGACACAGGCUGAAUGAAGCUUUGCAAAUGACUGGACAGUGCCCUGGCACAUGAGUCUUGCUGCCCCCAGGACUAGGUAUCAAUCUACUUCAGCUUUCUUUGGCCCUACCUUGUCUAUCAGAGUCAUACAUGCUUCUUGUAGAAUGUUUAGAAAGUGCGGAAACAAUAAAACUAGCUAUUGACCCAGAGCCUUCCCACCCCUGAGAGCAUCACUGUUCAUGUUUGGUGUAUUCCUUUCCUAUAUUUUUUCUAUGCAUAUAUAAUUUAUUUUACUACAAGAUUGGGAUCAUGCUGUGUUUACAGAUUUGUACCCUGCUUUCCUUAACAUUGUGAGCAUUUUCCCAUACCAAUAAAUAUUCUUCAAAUGUU